This is a long non-coding RNA of Ictalurus furcatus (blue catfish), 1515 nucleotides long. RefSeq lists it as uncharacterized. Lineage: Eukaryota; Metazoa; Chordata; Actinopteri; Siluriformes; Ictaluridae. The record is from RefSeq and is a predicted model, not a curated record. The transcript has 3 exons.
UUGGGUCUUUUCUUAAACAGGAACACUCCUAUGAUCCUGAGGGUAAUACUGGCUUCAUUGCAUGGAGGAUCAAGACAGUUCAACAUAACACCUGUGCUGGCUCCCGGUGUCAUUCCAAGACUGUUCCUCAGGAUGGUCCAAAAACCAGAUGAGAAUCUCUGUUAACCUGUCAACAGCUAUUUGGUGAGGAUUGCAGGGAUGUGAUAUCUAAAAUACGAUAUUCCACUGAUGAAUCUGUGGUAAAAGAGAAAAUGAGAGCAACUUUCCAGUAUUGACAGAAGAUGGUCGGUGAGGAUGCAUCAUCUUCAGUCCUGGAUUUGUUCCCUCGUUUCCUUGCUGUAUCUGGAUUGGUAAGAAAAUCUUUAGCUUUGGAAGUAGUUUUGAAAAGGAAAUUACCUUCUCUGUAGUUAUUAAAAUGAGUUCACUGGUACAGUAGAGAAAGGAGUUGUUCAAUGAUCACCGUAACACCAACAGGCCGGUCCAAACUGAGAAAUUCAACGUUCUAAUCUUUUAUAUCCCAAAUAUAUGCAUAAAUAACACAGCAGAUCUUAAUUUUUAGUAUUUGGCCUUUCAUCCAUUUAUGUCCGUUAUGUUUAAACCUGUAUAAACCUUCUUUAUAGAUCGACCAGGAUUUCUCCAUGAUGUUUGGUGACGAAGUGUCUCAGAAGUUCCUGGCAAAGUAGUCAACAUUCUUCAAGCCAAAAAUCAUUGCAGACUGCAAGACUCAAGAAUAUGGGCGAGCUGCUGUCAGGAACUGAACCUGAAUCUGAGGACUACAAUGGAUGGGACAGCGAUAUGUCCUCAAUCCUUUUGCUGCUGCAUCUGCUCCCUCCAACCUCAAGAGGCCAGAAAAAACAUCCAAGAUCAGUUCAGCUCAAGCAACCAGCCAUCUUGUGAGAUAUCUUAAGGAAGGAGCCAGUGUGACUACCUUCAUUGAGAGUGCUGACACAAGACAACCAUUCCUUCUCUGCAUCGGUGAGUGAAAGAAGGAUAUCCAAAAGUUCUACGUUAUUAUCGACCCAAAACCGAUCCCAUGUAAGGCGUACACAUCAAUGGCAGCUUUUGAUGAACUGUUCAAAGCUCACUAUGUCUUCAGUUUCUCAUUUGAUGAAGCUCUUUGUGAUUUCUAGACAUUUAUCCAAACCACUAUCUAUAACAUCGAUGUCGGAAGAGCAAAGCAGAGCCUGCGUGUUAAAGAACUUCGAGCAUGAUUGCUGCAGCGAGAUUAACAGCCUUGAAGAUGUUCACGUGUUUUGUAUGUAAAGCACACCUCAGAACUUGUUUGGUUCUUCGUCAACAUUUAAAAUUUCAACGUGGAUUAUAUCCUAGCAAAAAGUUACGUUUAAAAUGUGGAGAGCCAGGCUGCCCGUUAUCAUUUUGUAUUUAUAGUGGCUUCUGAAAACACCUCAGCAAGGUACAUAGUCACACUAUGGAUCAAGAGGUUGAUACUAAUCAGGAUCUUUCCACUCAGGGAGAAUAUGAGGCGGAAUGUUCAAAUGAUCGCCCAAAUUCUGU